GACACGCUGGCGGCGUGCUUAACACAUGCAAGUCGAACGGUGACGAGGAGCUUGCUCCUCUGAUCAGUGGCGAACGGGUGAGUAACACGUGAGCAACCUGCCCCAGACUCUGGGAUAACAGUUGGAAACAGCUGCUAAUACCGGAUACGAGACGGAGAGGCAUCUCUACCGUCUGGAAAGUUUUUCGGUCUGGGAUGGACUCGCGGCCUAUCAGCUAGUUGGUGAGGUAAUGGCUCACCAAGGCGACGACGGGUAGCCGGCCUGAGAGGGCGACCGGCCACACUGGGACUGAGACACGGCCCCAGACUCCUACGGGAGGCAGCAGUGGGGAAUAUUGCACAAUGGGCGAAAGCCUGAUGCAGCGACGCCGCGUGAGGGGAUGACGGGCCUUCGGGUUGUAAACCUCUUUCAGCAGGGAAGAAGCGCAAGUGACGGUACCUGCAGAAGAAGCACCGGCUAACUACGUG
RNAcentral lists this ribosomal RNA (467 nucleotides) under uncultured bacterium. RNAcentral's name for it is "bacterial SSU rRNA". It matches the Rfam family "Bacterial small subunit ribosomal RNA", at positions 33 to 507 of the family's 1533-position model. The record is from RNAcentral.